GUUGCACCCGGCCUUCGGGCUGGGUGAGGAUUGAAAC
Molecule: non-coding RNA, 37 nt
Organism: Deinococcus proteolyticus MRP
Lineage: Bacteria; Thermotogati; Deinococcota; Deinococci; Deinococcales; Deinococcaceae
Source: Rfam